RNAcentral lists this ribosomal RNA (484 nucleotides) under uncultured bacterium. Its description in RNAcentral is "partial 16S ribosomal RNA". It matches the Rfam family "Bacterial small subunit ribosomal RNA", at positions 30 to 507 of the family's 1533-position model. The record is from RNAcentral.
AUUGAACGCUGGCGGCAGGCCUAACACAUGCAAGUCGAGCGGAUGAAGGGAGCUUGCUCCUGGAUUCAGCGGCGGACGGGUGAGUAAUGCCUAGGAAUCUGCCUGGUAGUGGGGGAUAACGUCCGGAAACGGGCGCUAAUACUGCAUACGUCCUGCGGGAGAAAGUGGGGGAUCUUCGGACCUCAUGCUAUCAGAUGAGCCUAGGUCGGAUUAGCUAGUUGGUGGGGUAAAGGCCUACCUAGGCGACGAUCCGUAACUGGUCUGAGAGGAUGAUCAGUCACACUGGAACUGAGACACGGUCCAGGCUCCUACGAGAGGCAGCAGUGGGGAAUAUUGGACAAUGGGCGGGAGCCUGAUCCAGCCAUGCCGCGUGUGUGAAGAAGGUCUUCGGAUUGUAAAGCACUUUAAGUUGGGAGGAAGGGCAGUAAGUUAAUACCUUGCUGUUUUGACGUUACCGACAGAAUAAGCACCGGCUAACUUCGUG